Molecule: unclassified non-coding RNA, 22 nt
Filed under: Mus musculus (house mouse)
Lineage: Eukaryota; Metazoa; Chordata; Mammalia; Rodentia; Muridae
Description: oocyte_clustered_small_RNA12226
Source: RNAcentral
UGGGGACCCAUCCAGUAAUCAG